This 393-nucleotide ribosomal RNA is filed under the name uncultured bacterium. RNAcentral's name for it is "partial 16S ribosomal RNA". It matches the Rfam family "Bacterial small subunit ribosomal RNA", at positions 523 to 918 of the family's 1533-position model. The record is from RNAcentral.
AUACGGAGGACGCGAGCGUUAUCCGGAUUCAUUGGGUUUAAAGGGUGCGCAGGCGGCCGUGCAAGUCAGCGGUGAAAGCCCGGGGCUCAACCCCGGAAGUGCCGUUGAUACUGCAUGGCUGGAAUGCGGUCGAGGCGGGCGGAACGUGGCGGGUAGCGGGGAAAUGCGUAGAUAUGCCACAGAACGCCGAGAGCGGAGGCAGCUCGCCAGGCCUGCAUUGACGCUCGGGCACGAAAGCGUGGGGAGCGAACAGGAUUAAAUGCCCUGGUAGUCCACGCCGUAAACGAUGGGCGCUCGUCGUCGGCGGCAGACAGUCGGCGGCCAAGCGAAAGCGAUAAGCGCCCCACCUGGGGAGUUCGGUCGCAAGGCUGAAACUCAAAGGAAUUGACGGGG